Molecule: ribosomal RNA, 813 nt
Filed under: Biscogniauxia mediterranea
Lineage: Eukaryota; Fungi; Ascomycota; Sordariomycetes; Xylariales; Xylariaceae
Description: eukaryotic LSU rRNA
Rfam family: Eukaryotic large subunit ribosomal RNA (bases 224-813)
Source: RNAcentral
AUCUUUGAACGCACAUUGCGCCUGAUAGUAUUCUGUCAGGCAUGCCUGUUCGAGCGUCAUUUCAACCCCCAAGCCCUAUUUGCUUGACGUUGGGAGUUUACGGAGACGUAAUUCCUCAAAUAUAGUGGCGGAGCUAGGUCGUGCUCUAAGCGUAGUAACCACAAUUCUCGCUUCUGCAGCCGGCUUAGGUCCUGCCGUAAAACCCCUAUAUUUUUUUAUUGGUUGACCUCGGAUCAGGUAGGAAUACCCGCUGAACUUAAGCAUAUCAAUAAGCGGAGGAAAAGAAACCAACAGGGAUUGCCCUAGUAACGGCGAGUGAAGCGGCAACAGCUCAAAUUUGAAAUCUGGCCCUCGGGUCCGAGUUGUAAUUUGCAGAGGAUGCUUUUGGCGCGGUGCCUUCCGAGUUCCCUGGAACGGGACGCCUUAGAGGGUGAGAGCCCCGUACGGUUGGACACCAAGCCUCUGUAAAGCUCCUUCGACGAGUCGAGUAGUUUGGGAAUGCUGCUCUAAAUGGGAGGUAAAUUUCUUCUAAAGCUAAAUACCGGCCAGAGACCGAUAGCGCACAAGUAGAGUGAUCGAAAGAUGAAAAGCACUUUGAAAAGAGGGUUAAAUAGCACGUGAAAUUGUUGAAAGGGAAGCGUUUACGGCCAGACCUUUUCCUGGCGGAUCAUCUGGUGUUCUCACCAGUGCACUCCGCCAGGUUUAGGCCAGCAUCGGCUCCCGUAGGGGGAUAAAAGCAGUGGGAAAGUAGCUCCCUCGGGAGUGUUAUAGCCCGCUGCACAAUACCCUUACAGGGGCCGAGGACCGCGCUCU